This 908-nucleotide ribosomal RNA is filed under the name Isospora streperae. RNAcentral's name for it is "SSU rRNA". It matches the Rfam family "Eukaryotic small subunit ribosomal RNA", at positions 174 to 1087 of the family's 1831-position model. The record is from RNAcentral. Lineage: Eukaryota; Apicomplexa; Conoidasida; Eucoccidiorida; Eimeriidae.
CGCAAUCGCCUCCUUCUCUGGAGGGGCUGUGUUUAUUAGAUACAAAACCAACCCACUUUGUGGAGUCCUGGUGAUUCAUAGUAACCGAACGGAUCGCAUUUGGCUUCGGCCCGCGAUGGAUCAUUCAAGUUUCUGACCUAUCAGCUUUCGACGGUAGGGUAUUGGCCUACCGUGGCAGUGACGGGUAACGGGGAAUUAGGGUUCGAUUCCGGAGAGGGAGCCUGAGAAACGGCUACCACAUCUAAGGAAGGCAGCAGGCGCGCAAAUUACCCAAUGAAAACAGUUUCGAGGUAGUGACGAGAAAUAACAAUACAGGGCAUUUUAUGCUCUGUAAUUGGAAUGAUGGGAAUGUAAAACCCUUUCAGAGUAACAAUUGGAGGGCAAGUCUGGUGCCAGCAGCCGCGGUAAUUCCAGCUCCAAUAGUGUAUAUUAGAGUUGUUGCAGUUAAAAAGCUCGUAGUUGGAUUUCUGUCGUGGUCAUCCGGUACCGCCCGUAUGGGUGUGCACCUGGUUUGCCCUCGGCUUUCUUCCGGUAGCCUUCCGCGCUUCACUGCGUGUGUUGGUGUUCCGGAACUUUUACUUUGAGAAAAAUAGAGUGUUUCAAGCAGGCUUGUCGCCCUGAAUACUUCAGCAUGGAAUAAUAAGAUAGGACCUCGGUUCUAUUUUGUUGGUUUCUAGGACCAAGGUAAUGAUUAAUAGGGACAGUUGGGGGCAUUCGUAUUUAACUGUCAGAGGUGAAAUUCUUAGAUUUGUUAAAGACGAACUACUGCGAAAGCAUUUGCCAAGGAUGUUUUCAUUAAUCAAGAACGACAGUAGGGGGUUUGAAGACGAUUAGAUACCGUCGUAAUCUCUACCAUAAACUAUGCCGACUAGAGAUAGGGAAAUGCCUACCUUGGCUUCUCCUGCACC